UGGGGAAUCUUGCACAAUGGGCGAAAGCCUGAUGCAGCAACGCCGCGUGCGGGAAGACAGCCCUAGGGUUGUAAACCGCUUUCAGCAGGGAAGAAACUGACGGUACCUGCAGAAGAAGAUGCGGCCAACUACGUGCCAGCAGCCGCGGUGACACGUAGGCAUCAAGCGUUAUCCGGAUUUAUUGGGCGUAAAGAGCUCGUAGGCGGUUCGGUAAGUCGGGUGUGAAACUCUGGGCUCAACCCAGAGAGGCCACUCGAUACUGCUGUGACUAGAGUGCGGUAGGGGAGCGGGGAAUUCCUGGUGUAGCGGUGAAAUGCGCAGAUAUCAGGAGGAACACCAGUGGCGAAGGCGCCGCUCUGGGCCGUAACUGACGCUGAGGAGCGAAAGCAUGGGUAGCAAACAGGAUUAGAUACCCUGGUAGUCCACACCGUAAACGAUGAAUGCCAGUCGUCGGGUAGCAUGCUA
This 465-nucleotide ribosomal RNA is filed under the name uncultured bacterium. RNAcentral's name for it is "bacterial SSU rRNA". It matches the Rfam family "Bacterial small subunit ribosomal RNA", at positions 355 to 838 of the family's 1533-position model. The record is from RNAcentral.